GUUUAAAGGCUGGUUACAGAUGAAUGGGACUAAUGGCCUCCACCUGAUUUUUACAAGAUAGCUAUUUAAUCCAACAAUUCUAAGUGCUGUUUCCUAACACAGUACUACUGUUACCAGAUGAAAGUGCUAUGGAUUCUUUCCAAGGAAUAUCUCGUCACUUCAUUAUACCUGAAAAACAGUGAAGCUUCUGUGAAGUGAAGGCUCUACGAAACACAGGGAUGUAAUUCUGCACCCAGAAGAGUUUAUCCUGCAGUACUUCACCAUUCUGCAACUAGAAGGCCUGGAGAUGGAGGACAAAUACACGGCAAUGGAAUCCUUAUGCACUUGAUACAGUCUGGAUGAUGGGUUUACUUCAAUCUCUGAGUGUGAAUUUGUUAGUACAAACUCCGAAGAAGUGAAGGAUAUCCAGAAUAAAGCAAAAGCCCACAACUGGGAGAGAAACUUUCACCAAAAUUCUUUUAAAGACAUCCUCUUUUUAUUCUUGUAUUUUCUUAUGUGCUCUUACUUCUUUUUGUGUUCCUUCCACCUCACUGAUAGGAAGGACAUAAAUGGCUCUCUGUGCAAGAACUGGAGUGCAAGAAAGUGCUGCUGAAGACACAGGCUGAAUCUGUGCUCCUAACAAUAUCAGCUUGUGGAAAUAAGACUUGCUACUUGAAAAGCUGCCUAUUGACAUUUUUGUUUUUCCUUUUAAUUAGAGAUAUCAGAAUACAUUACCUACAUUGAGAAGAGCAGUAAGGGUGAUGUAAGCUAUGGGUGAGGUUUUGGACAUUUCAUUUGUCCAGUUUCAUUAGUUCUGCUGUGGCCAGAUUCACUGGCUCCAGCUUUCAUAGUUUCAGGACCUUUCUCCCUGCUGGAAUUUCCUUUAGUUGAGGCAGAAAGAAAUGAGCUUAUUUUGGAGGGCCAAAGUUUUUUUGUGAAAAUGAGGAACUGCACACCACAUAUUACUGUCUCUGCAGAGGUGGAGGGCUAAAUUGGAUUGGUUUAAUCACAGAACCACACCAUAAAAUAUAUAUAUUAAAAUGGCCUUUUUCCCCCCCUUUCCUUUCUUUUAUUUUUUUUUCCUUCUGCAAUAUCCCUGAACCAUUUUCUGUGAGCUACAGUUCUAGCAAAUAAUUCCCUCCUUUAAAAUGAUCCAGAAGCAUCUCUAAGACUUUGACAGAGCUGUUGUCUCUUAUGCUUAAUGGCUUGAAAUUCUGUCAGAAGAAGGAAGAGCAUAAGGGUACCAUGCAAGCCUGCUUAUGCUGCCUACCAGCAAACCUCAGCUCUGCAGUUUGGGCAACACUGCUGAGAAUCUACUGACAAUUUUCACAUAACUCAAAAAAUGGCACUAGGAUUUGUUAUAGAAAGCACCUGAGCAUCUCCUGAGACCAAGGUUAACUCCUGAAGGAAAUGGAGGUGCAAUAACUUGUUCAAAGCUAUGCAGCAGAAAUAAAGGGCCUGGCUAUGACCCUAAGCCAGUGUCUUCAUUUCUGGCUCAUUCAGUCUCUUGGUGAUGUGAUUUUUUCACAGCACAUUCAGGUCUAGAAACAAGGGAACAGGACCACAGGGAGAGGUAUAAAUGCAACAAAACCUGCUAAAUUUGGUUUCCACAUAGCUGUCAUGCUCCUUAGGAGAUGCGGUUCCUUUGCUUGUGCCUUGGAAUGUUUAGCAAAAGGGUUCUGUGAGUAACAUUAUAGCUUUAUAAAGAGUAAUCCAAUUCUUUUAGUCUGAAAUGUCUCUUCAUAUGUUUAGGAAGAAGCCAAAUAAGAGGGAGAACAAGAUGUCCAAAGGAACAUAAGAUGUAUAUUUGCUCUGUCAGUUUUCUUCAAGAAAAGAAGAACUAUACUCCCUACAAGUUUGAGAUUAGUUCACUUCUUGGGAGUUGGCACUGCAGAGAGCAUAUACUUGUAGGGCUACAUUCACACAAAAAUCUGCUUCAUACAGACUACUGAUUUAGAUGUUAAUUUAGGAGCAUAGGCUCUCUCUGUAGUCACUGGAGCCUAAAUUAACAUCUUGCAAUUCCCUUGAAAGGACUCACCUUUCUCUAUUGAGUACAGAGCGACCUGAGGCUCCUAAUUCAGGCACACAGGUCCCACAGGCACACAGCUUAGGGACGGCCCAGCGUGUUAGCCUUGUACAAACCAGACCCUGUUCAAACCUUGCACACCUCUCAUUUGCUGAGCAGGGCAGAGAUCUCAUAGCACAGACCUUGCUGUGAACCUGUAUCACUGAGCAAGGAGCCGAGGGUCUUUGCCAAACGUUGCCAGAUCACAGCCUUGUCAGAGCAGGGGAUGGCUUUGGUCGGCCUAGAAGUCAAGAAGUUUUCACAGGAGCAAAAGUCCUCACUGAGAGUAAAUUGCUGGAGCACACUGGCAGAGAGCAGGACAGCUUUUGGAGUGAGGGGGGUGAACACCACGAGCAAGGGCCCUGCUGGAUGUGUUGUACUCCAGAGAAUCAGCAUGGCUGUGGCACACCUCACCUCUCCUUGAGGGUGAGGGGAGAAGUGGAGAUGAUUAACUCAGGGCAGGGAGUGAAGGUGCCUGCAAAUCCCUGACUUCUACGUCCACCUCUGCCAAGGGCUCUUCCUGGCACCCUGCACAAGUUGCCGGUCUCCUGCUCAGCCUCCACCUCUUGCGAGGAGAAUGACUUUAUUUACAGGAGGUGAUGUCACAACAGCGUUGUGAGGGGAUGUGACUCAGUGUUUUUGUAUAAUGCUUUGAAGACGAAGAGUGCUAAGUAUUGUUAUUUGAGAUGGCAACAAAAUAAAACAAAAUGUGUUCGGUGCGGCUAUUCAAGCCAAAUCCAUUUUCAGUUAAUCUUCCAAGCAGGAAUUCAAAAUCAAAGUAAAAAGCCUCGCCAACUGGAACUUUACAGCUUGAUGGGAAAGUAUGAAAGAGAAUUAAUUGGGUUUUAAAUAGUUGUAACUGUAUUGUGAUGCAGCAUGAUCUGGAGCGCUCGGCUGCUGCUGGUUGCCAACUGGUUUGGAGCUGGGAUUGCUCAAGGGAAUCUUUUUUUUGCAGCAAAGAAAAAUAGCUGGGCCAUCGUGCACAGCUCUAUAGACUGACAGGAACUGCCUCUGUGCUCUCUAUGAAAACAUGCACUUUUUCCACUUCGUGCUGCUUUUUUUUUUUUUUUUUCAGCAAUGCAAAAACAGUGGAAGAUGUGGAAAGCAACAGAAUUGCCCAACACCACCACAGAGCACCUCAUGGGGAUUGUCUCCCCUCCCAGAAAGGAGGGAUGGCAAAAUACGAUGGCAAAGCCUGUUAUAAAUACCUGUUCAAAGCAAGUUCUCCAUAAAAUAGGCGUACCAGCACACUGGCUUCCUGGGAGCAUUGCUAAAUCCAGAUCACUUGCAGAUGACUUUCAAGCUCUGUACUGAAAUUAGCAAAGUUCCACGACUGUUAACUGCCAAAGACUUGCUUCUUGUAAGGAAAAGUCUGUGUGCAUUGGCUUCACAUUUUUCACCUGAUGUUCAAAGGGGCUUGGAGACGGCUCUCAGCCUCUUGUGUUUGGUGGGGUUUGUCAAUAUGAAGUGCCCUUAUAAGUGGGCUAUUUAGUGCUUUCCCACUUUCAGUGAAUGCAGUGUUUUGUAGCUAAGCCGUACUGUUUGGGUUUUCCUGCUCUGUCCUCAAAUCCUAUUUUUUGUUUUCUUAAUACUUUUGAAGUUACUCGUUCCUAAAAUAUGACUCUCAGUAAACAUUUCAGCACUUUAAUUUGGCUUAAAUUUUACACUUUAAUAUUCAAGUUCCAAAAUAGUGCCAAGAUGAUGAGCCAAGAAAAAAGAUGAUGGCUCUGGAAGCAUCUCUUUUCAAUAUCUUUUACUUCUGCUAAGCUAUAUACACAAGAAGCUGCCUUACAAACAGCUUUAUAUUGCACUCUAUUGCCAAUCAUUGGAAAAACAUGCCAUAAUGGGUUGCAAAUGGCAUAAUGUUAUGCAGCCAGAAUGAACAAUAUCAUUGGAAAGAUAUCAUAUUGAUAAAAGCAGGCAUGGAGAAAAUAAAUCUAAAGUCUCUCUAUCACAAGUAAUAGAAGAGAGGAAAAAUUACAGAUGUUUUUUUCUACUCAGAAACAACCUGAGCCAACAGCACUUUGCUUGCUGAAAUGUUUUCUCUCUUAUAUUCCAAACAAAAUUUGUUUUUCCUUUACAGCCAUGUUUGCUGUUGUUUCUUUGCAUAAAUCAUUUUUCUCACCUUUAGAAAGCAGCUUCUCUCUAAGAAUCCAUUAAUUAGCUGUCAGAGGAAAGCAAAAAUCAUACAUUCACAAACACUGAGCGGACAGAGCGGUCCUGAAACACCCACAGCAAACAUUCAUUACUUCAAGUCUGGCAACGUUAAAAAUGCAGCACAGGACUGAUAGAUUUUUUUUUUUUUUUCCCCACUUUUUGGAGUGUAAUCAGUCUUUAUGAUUAUGCUUUACUGUCCAGUGUAAAAGUAACACAGCAAUUUAAAACCAUGUGAUGGAAGCCCUAUGCCCAGCAUACACUGGACUAGCUUUUCAAUUUCGGCUCCUCUGACACUGAGUGCUCAUCCCAGAGGGGUGAUCUUGCAGGCUGCUUAUGCUCUGAACUUCUUUGUUUCAGUGCAGAACCCACUGGAGUCCACUUUGCAGGAGAAAGCUUGCUCAGAGUGCUGUGAGGCCUUUAGGGAAGGGGUGGAAGAUGAGAGGGGCAAUGGCUGCAGUCUUGCUGAGGUGGAUCCAUUGCCUUUGCUCUUCUGUCUCUGUUGUGUCCAUAUACGUAUGUGUAUGCAUAUCCAUCCUCUCUCAAACACAUACCAACACUGCUUUGGCUUAAUGGCCACCAUUGGAAACUGAGCAGAUCCUCGUGUGUCCCCAGACAGGCUGGAGACUGGGGUAUGGGGUAUACUACAGCUUGCUGGCAGUAGUAGCUACAGUCACUGGGCAGAAGGCAGGGUGCUCUGGGUCUGAGGGUUAGUUAGAACAAGCUCUCCUGUCUGUGCUGUGAGUGCACAGAGCACACAAGGCAGCAGACUCCUCGACAGCACACUCGGGGCGGGUGGCAAAACUAAAAAUCCCAGACUCAUGAAAAGAUACACAUCUUUUCCAAUUAUUAUUUUGGCAAUCUCGACUUUCCAAGUGCUUUCUGGAACACAUCCAGAAGCUGAGGAGCCCCUGGUCCCACACGGGGCAGCUUCUGACAUCCAUCGAACGGAGACUCACCCUGUAAAACUCCGCCUGGGAAGUUCUGUCAGAAAAUAAAGCACCAUUAACUGGGGAACAUAUGUGUCUCCUUUGUGUCUGCAUUGGGGGUGUCAGCUGUGUGACGGUCAUGCAGUUUAAUUAAGGCAAGGCACACUGAUGUGUGCAGUUUUAUUUCAGCUUGUUCUUCCUUGCAAACCUAAUGGACUUACUCAGCCCCUGAACAAGCCGGCAGUGUUUCUGCCAGAGGUCCCUGUGUGGAUGCUGUGGGCUUAUAGAACGCAUUGUCUGGUCCUACAGAAAUCCAGCUUCUGCCCGUAGUGAUUUGAGGGCAUUCUGUUAUUACUGCCUUCCUUUAGAAAAGGCGAUGGCUGAGACAGAAGGCUCUCAUUUUACUGCACGACGGAGAGGAUACGAUGGCUGUAACGUACAAUUCUGCCUUUUGUGGUGCUUAUUUUACAGACGGCUUAGGA
Molecule: RNA transcript, 5609 nt
Organism: Phasianus colchicus (ring-necked pheasant)
Lineage: Eukaryota; Metazoa; Chordata; Aves; Galliformes; Phasianidae
Source: RefSeq, a predicted model, not a curated record